UAUCCUGUGAGGUGUAUUCGUUUGGUAAAUUCCAUUGGCCUUUUGUCACUGGACGUUCUAAGUUUCUCCUGAACUUUGAAAGCACAAAAUUCACACCAUCACAGCGGGACGCAGAAGACAAUUUUUAUUGUAGUUCCAGUAAUUUUUCUGCAUUCUAUUGCUUCGCCGGGAGAGCUGAGAGGGAGGGAGAUGGAGAGAGAGGAAGAAAUGGGGCUGGAAAGAACGCUAUCAAUUGAGCCGCCUCCAGCUAAAUAGAUCCCAUAUGUCUAUAGAUUCAACUGAUUGGAAACAGAAUGUGGGAUGAAAUCGUUGCACCUGUAUCUUAAAAGAGGAGUUCUUUGUGACUGGACCUUGCUUCUAUCUGCUUCUCCUUCCUAAUAAAAAUCCUAGUCGCUAUGAUUUUUUUCUCUUC
Long non-coding RNA from Dendrobium catenatum, 412 nucleotides. RefSeq lists it as uncharacterized. The record is from RefSeq and is a predicted model, not a curated record. NCBI's taxonomy places the organism in Eukaryota, Viridiplantae, Streptophyta, Magnoliopsida, Asparagales, Orchidaceae. The transcript is spliced from 2 exons.